RNAcentral lists this ribosomal RNA (303 nucleotides) under Pseudomonas sp. TR 1.1. Its description in RNAcentral is "bacterial SSU rRNA". It matches the Rfam family "Bacterial small subunit ribosomal RNA", at positions 69 to 357 of the family's 1533-position model. Lineage: Bacteria; Pseudomonadati; Pseudomonadota; Gammaproteobacteria; Pseudomonadales; Pseudomonadaceae. The record is from RNAcentral.
GAUAGUGGAGCUGCUCCAUGAUUCAGCGGCGGACGGGUGAGUAAUGCCUAGGAAUCUGCCUGGUAGUGGGGGAUAACGUUUCGAAAGGAACGCCUAAUACCGCAUACGUCCUACGGGAGAAAGUGGGGGAUCUUCGGACCUCACGCUAUCAGAUGAGCCUAGGUCGGAUUAGCUAGUUGGUGGGGUAAUGGCCCACCAAGGCGACGAUCCGUAACUGGUCUGAGAGGAUGAUCAGUCACACUGGAACUGAGACACGGUCCAGACUCCUACGGGAGGCAGCAGUGGUCUGCCUUUUUUUCCUGA